Molecule: long non-coding RNA, 344 nt
Organism: Melitaea cinxia (Glanville fritillary)
Lineage: Eukaryota; Metazoa; Arthropoda; Insecta; Lepidoptera; Nymphalidae
Exons: 3
Source: RefSeq, a predicted model, not a curated record
GUGUUUUGUUUCAGCAGUCUGUGGUGUUUCUUAUAGACAUUUCAAUAAUCUGGAUUGAACCCAUGACGGUUGAUGCAACAGCCAGUUGCUGUGACCACUGUGCAUUGGCAAAUUUGCAGACCUUAAGUAAAACGUAUCCACCAUGCUAUAAAGAAGUACCGUGUUAAUAAAUAAUGAUGAUGACGAUGGAGACGUGAUCGCGUGUAGCUCUGACAGCGAUUCUGACAGUGAAUCAGAGAAAGAGAUGAAAGCUACUCGAGCUGAAGCGAGAAUGAAAAUGUAGUUAUUUUUAAUAACUUCAUUGAAAUAAAAGUUAAACAAUUAAAAAAUUAUGCUAGAAUAAA